This 305-nucleotide ribosomal RNA is filed under the name uncultured bacterium. Its description in RNAcentral is "partial 16S ribosomal RNA". It matches the Rfam family "Bacterial small subunit ribosomal RNA", at positions 508 to 808 of the family's 1533-position model. The record is from RNAcentral.
ACAGCAGCCGCCGCGGUAAUACGUAGGUGGCAAGCGUUGUCCGGAAUUAUUGGGCGUAAAGGGCUCGUAGGUGGUUUGUCGCGUCGUCUGUGAAAUUCUGGGGCUUAACUCCGGGCGUGCAGGCGAUACGGGCAUAACUUGAGUGCUGUAGGGGUAACUGGAAUUCCUGGUGUAGCGGUGAAAUGCGCAGAUAUCAGGAGGAACACCGAUGGCGAAGGCAGGUUACUGGGCAGUUACUGACGCUGAGGAGCGAAAGCAUGGGUAGCGAACAGGAUUAGAUACCCGUGUAGUCCCUGUCUCUUAUA